This 305-nucleotide unclassified non-coding RNA is filed under the name plant metagenome. RNAcentral describes it as "partial contains 5.8S ribosomal RNA, internal transcribed spacer 2, and large subunit ribosomal RNA". The stretch from base 1 to 105 matches the Rfam family "5.8S ribosomal RNA", at positions 50 to 154 of the family's 154-position model. The record is from RNAcentral.
GAAAUGCGAUAAGUAAUGUGAAUUGCAGAAUUCAGUGAAUCAUCGAAUCUUUGAACGCACAUUGCGCCCGCCAGUAUUCUGGCGGGCAUGCCUGUUCGAGCGUCAUUUCAACCAUCAAGCCCCCGGCUUGUGUUGGGUACCUGCGGCUGCCCGCAGGCCCUGAAAAACAGUGGCGGGCUCGCUGUCACACCGAGCGUAGUAGCAUACAUUCUCGCUCAGGGCGUGCUGCGGGUUCCGGCCGUUAAACGACCUUCAUAACCCAAGGUUGACCUCGGAUCAGGUAGGAAGACCCGCUGAACUUAAGC